AUGACGGACGUCUGCUCCAUCCUCGGCCGCGCUGCCUGUGGGAGGCGGGGGCUGCGGCCAGUCCCCCCCCCUCCCUCCAGGUUUUCGCCGAUGGCGCCAGCAGACGUCGCCCCUUCCUUCCUCGGCGGGCACAUUGCAGCCGAUAACGCAGCCCGAGAGACCAGGGCCGCACUUCAAACACGGAUCGGCAUCGGGAGAGGCCCCGGCUUUGAGGACGGGCAGGACGGCCGAGACGAGUGGGGCGUGCGGUCAGAACCCAGAGGUAGCGUGAGUCACGGCAGCGGGCGACGGUGCCUCAACGCGGAGAAGCAGCCGGUGGAGGGGGGCAUGUCGGUGGGAGACGAGGUGACAAGAAGGGCUGGGGGGAGGUCAAGGUGAGGUCAGGGUCAGGGCAGCCCCACCCCUGCUCGCUCACUGACCUCAGCAGGUUACUUCUCCUGGGAAGCGCCAUUCAAAGUGCUAUUUAGAGGGCUAAAUCAUUGAUUAUAUGCAAAACAUACAUUUUGUGAACUUCAAAGCACUUAAUAAACACAAGGUAUAAGUCUUUUAAGUCUAGGAA
RNAcentral lists this long non-coding RNA (559 nucleotides) under Sus scrofa (pig). RNAcentral describes it as "lncRNA (ENSSSCG00040053601.1)". The record is from RNAcentral. Lineage: Eukaryota; Metazoa; Chordata; Mammalia; Artiodactyla; Suidae.